UAAGCCUGUAAACUUCCUCUCGCCAUAAUCUUUCUCUCUCCUCUAAGUUCCUCCCUCUGUGAAACCCUAAAACUUGAAGACUUCAAUGGCAUACAUUCACGGAGGCGGCUAAUGUCUCGGCUAUUGCACCAUGACUCCAGCACGACCCUGCAAAUACGGAAGGGUUUCGACGGGUGGUCAUCUUGGGGGAUCUGGUUGUUCGAUUUGCGAGUGGAGGUUGACGAAGCGUUUAUGUCGCCUCAGAUUUCCCUCUCUCUCUCCUCUCCCAUGUCAACGGCAUGUAGUUCUGCCAUGGAAAUUCCGCGACCUUCUACAUGGAAAUCGAAGCCUUCCAAACACAAAAGUGGUGAAUUACUGCAAUUAAGUUUAUGAUCUGAUUAAGCUGCAAUGGUACGCUAUGAAAUAACAUGAAAUUUCCUUGGCCUUCAAUUCCUGCAGUUACUAUACCGAUUGGAUAUGAUGAAGCAGGGUUGCCUAUCGGUCUACAAUUUAUCGGAAAACCUUAGGCUGAAGCAACAUUAAUUCACAUGGCUUCUGCAGUCCAGGUCGAUCGGACUUGGGAUAAUCAUGCACUGAGAGAACCAGCUUUAGUUGCUCACUUAAAGUAAUCCAGGAUUUUUGGCUACGUUAUUGAGAAACCCAAUUUCUUCACUUUUACUUGGUUGGCAAAAUUAGAAUCACAUACAUCUUGGAGCAUUCUGCAACUACUGGUUCUCAAAAGGGACAUUCCAUGGGAGACAUACAUGAUGACCAAGUUGAUCACUGGGACAACCCUUCAACUUUUAAGGCGUUAUGACAAGAAACCUGAGAACUAGAGAGCUUCCUUGCUGGAUGAUGUAAUUUUUCAUCUUUGCUUCUUUCUCGAAGUAUAGGCUGUUGAAGAAUUUUAGCUACAAUCUUUUUGUCAAAUGCAUCCAGUGACACAAAAUCUCUUUUAAUUUUGUUGAGAUCUGUCAUGACCUACCCCGUUCCUAACCAUAUAAUUUCUAUUGAAUGUUUGUAUGAUUAUGUUCAA
Spinacia oleracea (spinach) is the source of this 1015-nucleotide long non-coding RNA. RefSeq lists it as uncharacterized. The record is from RefSeq and is a predicted model, not a curated record. Lineage: Eukaryota; Viridiplantae; Streptophyta; Magnoliopsida; Caryophyllales; Amaranthaceae. The transcript is spliced from 6 exons.